GGUUAAGUGACUAAGCGUACACGGUGGAUGCCUUGGCAGUCAGAGGCGAUGAAAGACGUAGUAACUUGCGAUAAGCCCAGAUUAGGUAGUAACAACCAUUUGAGUCUGGGAUUUCUGAAUGGGGAAACCCACGUGCAUAAGCACGUAUCCUUACCUGAAUACAUAGGGUAAGGAGGCGAACCGGGGGAACUGAAACAUCUAAGUACCCCGAGGAAAAGAAAUCAACCGAGAUUCCGAAAGUAGCGGCGAGCGAAAUUGGACUAGCCCUUAAGCUUUACACGCGUUAGACGAACGGUCUGGAAAGUCCGACGAUACAGGGUGAUAGUCCCGUAGUUGACGACGUGUGUUCAGUGAAAUCGAGUAGGGCGGGACACGUGAUAUCCUGUCUGAAUAUGGGGGGACCAUCCUCCAAGGCUAAAUACUACUGACUGACCGAUAGUGAACCAGUACCGUGAGGGAAAGGCGAAAAGAACCCCUGUGAGGGGAGUGAAAUAGAACCUGAAACCGUGUACGUACAAGCAGUAGGAGCAGGCUUUGUCCUGUGACUGCGUACCUUUUGUAUAAUGGGUCAGCGACUUAUAUUCAGUGGCAAGGUUAACCAUCUAGGGGAGCCGUAGGGAAACCGAGUCUUAACUGGGCGUUCAGUCUCUGGAUAUAGACCCGAAACCAGGUGAUCUAGCCAUGGGCAGGUUGAAGGUUGAGUAACAUCAACUGGAGGACCGAACCGACUAAUGUUGAAAAAUUAGCGGAUGACUUGUGGCUAGGGGUGAAAGGCCAAUCAAACCUGGAGAUAGCUGGUUCUCCCCGAAAGCUAUUUAGGUAGCGCCUCGGACGAAUACUACUGGGGGUAGAGCACUGUUAAGGCUAGGGGGUCAUCCCGACUUACCAACCCUUUGCAAACUCCGAAUACCAGUAAGUACUAUCCGGGAGACACACGGCGGGUGCUAACGUCCGUCGUGGAGAGGGAAACAACCCAGACCGCCAGCUAAGGUCCCAAAUUACUACUAAGUGGGAAACGAUGUGGGAAGGCUCAGACAGCCAGGAUGUUGGCUUAGAAGCAGCCAUCAUUUAAAGAAAGCGUAAUAGCUCACUGGUCGAGUCGGCCUGCGCGGAAGAUGUAACGGGGCUAAGUAGUAAACCGAAGCUGCGGCAAUGUGCUUUUGCACAUUGGGUAGGGGAGCGUUCUGUAAGCGGUUGAAGGUGUGUGGUAACGCAUGCUGGACGUAUCAGAAGUGCGAAUGCUGACAUGAGUAACGAUAAAGGGGGUGAAAAACCUCCUCGCCGGAAGACCAAGGGUUCCUGUCCAACGUUAAUCGGGGCAGGGUAAGUCGACCCCUAAGGCGAGGCCGAAAGGCGUAGUCGAUGGGAAACGGGUUAAUAUUCCCGUACUUCUUACAAUUGCGAUGGGGGGACGGAGAAGGCUAGGUGGGCCUGGCGACGGUUGUCCAGGUUCAAGUGCGUAGGCUUAAGAGUUAGGUAAAUCCGGCUCUUUCUAAGGCUGAGACACGACGUCGAGCACCUACGGGUGUGAAGUCAUUGAUGCCAUGCUUCCAGGAAAAGCCUCUAAGCUUCAGAUUGUAAGGAAUCGUACCCCAAACCGACACAGGUGGUCGGGUAGAGAAUACCAAGGCGCUUGAGAGAACUCGGGUGAAGGAACUAGGCAAAAUGGUACCGUAACUUCGGGAGAAGGUACGCUCUUGAUGGUGAAGUCCCUCGCGGAUGGAGCUGACGAGAGUCGCAGAUACCAGGUGGCUGCAACUGUUUAUUAAAAACACAGCACUGUGCAAAAUCGUAAGAUGACGUAUACGGUGUGACGCCUGCCCGGUGCCGGAAGGUUAAUUGAUGGGGUUAGACUUCGGUCGAAGCUCUUGAUCGAAGCCCCGGUAAACGGCGGCCGUAACUAUAACGGUCCUAAGGUAGCGAAAUUCCUUGUCGGGUAAGUUCCGACCUGCACGAAUGGCGUAAUGAUGGCCACGCUGUCUCCACCCGAGACUCAGUGAAAUUGAAAUCGCUGUGAAGAUGCAGUGUACCCGCGGCUAGACGGAAAGACCCCGUGAACCUUUACUACAGCUUGGCACUGAACAUUGACCCUACAUGUGUAGGAUAGGUGGGAGGCUUUGAAGCACGUACGCCAGUAUGUGUGGAGCCGUCCUUGAAAUACCACCCUUGUAGUGUUGAUGUUCUAACGUCGACCCCUUAUCGGGGUUGCGGACAGUGCCUGGUGGGUAGUUUGACUGGGGCGGUCUCCUCCCAAAGAGUAACGGAGGAGCACGAAGGUGGGCUAAUCACGGUUGGACAUCGUGAGGUUAGUGCAAUGGCAUAAGCCCGCUUGACUGCGAGAAUGACAAUUCGAGCAGGUGCGAAAGCAGGUCAUAGUGAUCCGGUGGUUCUGAAUGGAAGGGCCAUCGCUCAACGGAUAAAAGGUACUCCGGGGAUAACAGGCUGAUACCGCCCAAGAGUUCAUAUCGACGGCGGUGUUUGGCACCUCGAUGUCGGCUCAUCACAUCCUGGGGCUGAAGUCGGUCCCAAGGGUAUGGCUGUUCGCCAUUUAAAGUGGUACGCGAGCUGGGUUUAGAACGUCGUGAGACAGUUCGGUCCCUAUCUGCCGUGGGCGUUGGAAGAUUGAAGGGGGCUGCUCCUAGUACGAGAGGACCGGAGUGGACGAACCUCUGGUGUUCGGGUUGUGUCGCCAGACGCAUUGCCCGGUAGCUAAGUUCGGAAUCGAUAACCGCUGAAAGCAUCUAAGCGGGAAGCGAGCCCUGAGAUGAGUCUUCCCUGAUACUUUAAGUAUCCUAAAGGGUUGUCGGAGACUACGACGUUGAUAGGUCAGGUGUGUAAGUGCUGUGAGGCAUUGAGCUAACUGAUACUAAUUGCCCGUGAGGCUUAACCAU
Molecule: ribosomal RNA, 2891 nt
Filed under: Vibrio parahaemolyticus
Lineage: Bacteria; Pseudomonadati; Pseudomonadota; Gammaproteobacteria; Vibrionales; Vibrionaceae
Description: LSU rRNA
Rfam family: Bacterial large subunit ribosomal RNA
Source: RNAcentral